This 5116-nucleotide long non-coding RNA is filed under the name Lactuca sativa (garden lettuce). RNAcentral describes it as "long non-coding RNA (LSAT_LNC007458)". The record is from RNAcentral. Lineage: Eukaryota; Viridiplantae; Streptophyta; Magnoliopsida; Asterales; Asteraceae.
AGCUGGUGGAAGCUAUUGGCAGAUACGAUGCCACGAGGAGAAGCCAUAAGGAUGUCAUGGGAGGAGUUCUUGGAACAGUUGAAAAUGCAGUACUGCUCGGAGAUAGAUCUGAUAGACCUAAACAACGAGUUUCAGAACCUGGAGAAAGGGAAGAUGAGUGUUGAUGAGUAUGCCACCGCAUUCACCGAGAGGAUGAAGUUGUUCCCCUACAUUGUGCCUACUGAACUCUCCAAGUUCGAUAGGUUUGCUAACGGACUGCCCACUGACUUUGGCCCAAUGGUCAAAAUGGCAACUACCUUGAAAACAGCUGUUAGGGCAGCUAAGAACGUAGAGGCCCAGAUAAGAGAAAAGGGUCUAGAAAAAGAUAAGGCAGGAGAGAAGCGAAAGUUUGAGGGAUCUUCGAGGUCGAACAAGGAAAGCAAAUUCUCAAAACUCGGAGGAGCAGAUGGAGGUGAAACAAGAUGGUGUGAUAAAUGCAAGAAGAAGCAUGGUGGGAAGUGCAACGAAGAAGUGACUUGUUACAAGUGUGGGAGGACGGGUCACUAUUCCAAAGACUGCACACAUAAUGACAAAGUAUGCUACGGAUGUGGAGGCAAGGGGCACAUGUCCAGAGACUGCCCAAGGAAAAAUAAAGCAGCAAGACCAGAAACGCCACCAAGGCCAAGGGCAUUUCACAUGAUCCUCGACGAAGCAGAGAACCAUGCGAGGAAUCAAGAAUGAGGACUUCUUACCCGAAGAUCGGAUUAUGCAGUAGCCAUAGUUUCGUAUGAUGUAGCCUAGUAGAGGCAUAGUCUAGGGUGAACUUGAACACCUAUGUAAUCGUUUCAAGAAUUAAUAUAAAACCUUCGUUUUGUUAUCUGAUGUGUCGAAUGAUUGUGUGAUUUGCUGCAUGGUGACUUGGGAAACUGCGAGACAAUACUUGGGACGAGUAUGAGUAGGUGUGAAUGGUAGUAGAGGCCUAUACUACCGGAAGCACAGGACUCACACUUGGAUCAGGGAAAGUCACAAGGUUACCAAGAAGCUAGUAAUUGAUUUCGUUUUAUUCAAGUGUGUUGUUACCAUCGUUUCGGUAAUGACUAAGAAGAUUGUUGAUAUUCCGACCCUAGUGGUCAUAUCGAAUCGAGUCCGACUACGAUGAGUAUGUUGUGUGGUUCAGAGAACCAAGUUUGAUGUAGCGUCCGACUUAAACCAAACGGUUGAAAUCAAAGCGAUCAAUAGAAGUAUCGCACUCGUUGUUAAAGAAGUUGGUGGCUAGAAAUGCCUAAUGUUAAAGUGUGAUUAUAUCACAUUAGAACAUGAAGGAAGGCAUAGUCUGUUUUAGAAUUUAACUCUAAGAGACCUAAGUCUAAGUGUUGCAACAUACGAUGAUAGGUCAUUAGAAUAUGACACAUCGAUCUAUAGUAGUAAUAAAAGAACUUAUCUCAAGUCCGUAUCCAGCAAGGAUCGAGAUUGUGACUUGAAGGUCAUAAUUUGGAGUCUAACCUGAGGUAGAGAGCAGGUGCACGAUCGAGUACUCUUACAGUCAAUGAGUUUAAGAGAUAGAAUCGAAGGAAUGUAGAAGUUAUAAUUAUUACCUAGGAUGAAGAGAUGACGUAUGGAGUCAUUAUACGACCCUGUUUCGUUGAUGAUUCCGGGACGUAAUCAUCCUAAGGGGGAGAUAAUUGUAACGCCCGCAAAUCUGGGCUAGUCAAAUUAGAGGCAAUAGGGGUCGAAAACGACUUUUCGACAAAAGAUUAUUUAGAAUAAAUAAUCUUAACCAAGUUGUAGAGUAUGUUACAAGGUUUUCGUACAUAUAAAGAACGCCGAAAACCGAGUUAUAACGAAGAAGUUAUGACCCGUUGAAGUUUCGCGACGGAACCGGCACGAUACCGGGAAGCGUAAAUAGUGAAUUUACGAUAGAGCGAGAUUUAGCCUUAGCGAUCUAAACGAAAGUCGUAGAAUAUGUUAAACUAAGAACAUCGAUAAAAAGAACGCCCAAAUCUGACUUCGUAUGAGGAAGUUAUGAUUUUUCUAAGAUUUAGCAUAGCAGUGCACAGCCCGAAAUCUGAAUUUUAGAUCGGUCGAUUUUUAGCCGACGGGAUCUAAAUGAAAGUUGUAGUACUCGUAAAUACCAACGCGUGGAUAUAAAGAACGUCGAUAAUAGAGCUCGUAUGCAAAAGUUAUGGACGAAGCUUAGUCCCUACUUUUCGAGCGCGGCGAAUUCGAUACAGUUUUGUAAAUACGAGAUAGAAUGAGAAUUAGCCAACGAGGUCUAAAUGAGAGUUGAAGAUCUCAUUAAUAGGAACUCAACGGUAAAAAGACAGACAAAAAUGGAGCUCGUAUGCGAAAGUUAUGGACGAAGCUUAGUCCCUACUUUUCGAGCGCGGCGAAUUUGAUACAGUUUUGUAAAUCCGAGAUAGAAUGAGAAUUAGCCAACGAGGUCUAAAUGAAAGUUGAAGAUCUCAUUAAUAGGAACUCAACAGUAAAAAGACAGACAAAAACGGAGCUCGUAUGCAAAAGUUACGGACGAAGCUUGGAGACUACUUUACUAUACACUUCCUAUAAAUACAAGGGUGAACUCCUCAUAUUUUCUUCACACCAUAAGCCUUUCUUUCUCUCUCUAACUUCUCUCUAACCUCCCUAAACCCCUCCCAAGUCUAGGGAACCUCCCUAUCACGAGAAGAAAGCCCCGGAGCGCCCGACGGCUCCGAGAAGAAAAGCUUUCGGCUCGGAAACGCUGCUCCAGCGAAGCCCGGUUUUUAAUAAAAACCCGCUGUAAGUGAGCUACGCCUAUAGUAUAUUUAAUAUAGAUUUUAUUUAAUUAUAGUAACAUUGUUAGGACCUUAAAAUAAUUAUUUAGGCUAUUAUUAUGAGUUAUAUUGAGUGUUAUUUAACGCUUAUAUAAUAGUAAUAAUAGCUAGACUAUUAAAUUAGUCUCGUCAAGCGUUAGACUAAACUCUAGUGGUAAUGAUACUAGGUUUCGUCAAGGGAUAAUUGUUUUAAGAGUAACGAAGUGCUGUCCGAGUGCCGACUCACCACCUUUCAGGUGAGUGCAUAGUCCCUUUCAUCUUACACAUAGAUAUGAAGUAUUUUAUAUAAACUACGUGCUAUGUGUGCACAUUAUCUGAAUACUUGCUGUCUAUGCUGGUUGAACGUUUUAUACAUGUUUUAAAGGACUUAAACUGUAUACGUAUUUUAUAUAUACGAAAAUGUUGGGUAUGAGAUGGGUAGAUGAAUGAUGAGAGAUAGAAGAUGACGUGAGUAUACAUUGGCAGCUAUAGACUUAGUGCCUAUGGGACAAACACCGGUAGCUAUGGACUUAGUACCUUUUAGACGUUGGUAGCUAUGGAUUUAGUACCUGUUGGGAAUUGGUAGCUAUGGACUUAGUACCUAUUAGUUAGACGCUGGUAGCUAAGGAUUUAGUACCUGUAGGAAUUGGUAGCUAUGGACUUAGUACCUGUUGAACAUUGGUAGCUAUGGACUUAGUACCUAUUAGAUAAAGACUGGUAGCUAUGGAUUUAGUACCCGAUGAAUAGACUAUAGCAGCUAUGGAAUUAGUGCUUUAUGAACGAACAUUGGCAGCUAUGGAUUUAGUGCCAGUCCCAUAACCCUGGAAGUAAGGGACUUCGGAAUAAACGAAUGCAGGAUAGAUGACUCUUAGGUUAAAUCCUUAAAGAGUAAAGAAGAUAAUGGGGAUGGGUAAUUGGGUUGAUUGUUUGAUUGAACAUAAUAAUUAUAUUAUUGUGGGUUGAAAACCCUAUGUACUCACCAGGUUUCCCAACCUGACCCACUCAGUUUAUGUAUAUCACAGGUGACGAAGUGAAGUGACAUUACACUGAGAGAUUUAAAAGAGAUGUAGAUCACUAGUGUAAAUCAUUGUAAGUUCUGUUUAUGCUUAUGUUUCGGUAUUAACGAUGACAUCCCAAACAUUUUAAAAUGAAAUAAAUACGUUUCUUCGAAAAUGUUUUAAUAACGUAUUUACCAUGUUUUUCUGGGAACAAAUUCCGCAACCUUUUUAUAAAAUGAAGUACUCUGAUUUUUAUAAAGCAUAAACAAAAUCGGUCUUUUCUGGCCGUGAUUUUGGGGAUGUCACAGUUGGUAUCAGAGCAUUAGUUUAAGCGAACUAGGAAUAUGGAUUUAUUUCUAGACUUAAACUUAGAAUGCUAAGCGAUGAUUGUGAGGUGUGAGCACUAGCUUAUUUUAGGAAUUGUGCCUAAAAUGCUUUUAUGUGCUAAAUGCUUUGUGCAUGAUAUGUUGUUAAUUGUUCGGAUCUAUGGUCUGUUGCCGACCGGAUCUGGAAACCUUAUGUGUUUAGGAUUCUAAACGUACGACUACGGUAUUAGAACUAGCAUGUAAACGUUUCGGAGUGAUAAGGAUGAUUUAAACGUCAAGUAAAGGUCUAAAUUCACCUUAUUCGGUGUAUAGAUCGAGAUGGUAAGGACCCGUAGCGGAAACGUAAACGCAAAUGGGAACAGGAACCAACCCCCAGUGGUUCAGCAAAUACCUGUUGUAGAAGAAGUUGCGCCUGAGCCAGUCACCAUGGCUGGAGUUCAAGCCAUGAUUCGGGCUAUGUUGGCUGAACAAAGGGAAGAAAUGAGACGGAUGUUGAAUAGGGACGAACCUACUAUGCCCAUUGAGCAACCCGAACUGAUUCCCGAGCAAUCUGAGGAAGGGAACUACAGCCGCCAAGUGAGUCAAGUUGGGACUCAAGGUGAGCAAAGGGAUGGCCCAGAAGGGAGAAACAACAAGGAUGGGCGGAUGUACAAGAAUUUCUUGGGUGCGAAACCCCCAAGUCUCUCAGGAAGCCCGAAGCCGGUUGAGAUUAUGGAUUGGAUCUCUGAGAUGGAGAUGGUGUUUGAGAGCUGCAGCUGUAACGAGAAACAGAAGACUGUCUUCGCUGUAAGACAACUGAAAACUGGAGUCUUGAGCUGGUGGAAGCUAUUGGCAGAUACGAUGCCACGAGGAGAAGCCUUAAGGAUGUCGUGGGAAGAGUUUUUGGAACAGUUGAAAAUGCAGUACUGCUCAGAGGUAGAUCUGAUAGACCUAAACAACGAGUUUCAGAACCUGAAGAAAGGGAAGAUGAGUGUUGAUGAGUAUGCCACCGCAUUCACCGAGAGGAUGAAGCUAUUCCCCUACU